Non-coding RNA from Phascolarctos cinereus (koala), 653 nucleotides. The record is from the annotation of a RefSeq genome assembly. NCBI's taxonomy places the organism in Eukaryota, Metazoa, Chordata, Mammalia, Diprotodontia, Phascolarctidae.
CAGCCCCCACCUCCCCUCGAAGAGUGUCACUUUCCAACUUACUCUUUUGGCCAGAUCCCGAGAGAGGAGCCUGCCCUCAUCCCUGUACGGGAGGGAGGAGAUUUCUAGGUCACAGGCUCAGCUGAAGAUUGGGCUGCAGUAUGCACUCCCUUUUCUGCCUUCUCCUGGCUACCCUCUUAGAGGCUGGUGUUGGGGCUCAGAAAAUCCACCAAUGGCCGGCCACCAAGCUACAGGUUGAAGGGAGCCGGCUUUCCCUGGAGUGUUCCGCAGAAGGGAUGUCAGAUCCCUAUCUCUACUGGUAUCACCAGCCCCUAGGUGGGGUUCUGCAGCUGCUGUCCUAUUCUAUAGGUUUAAACCAUGUGGAGGAUUCAAUGCCCCGACGUUUCUCAGGUUCAAGAUCUCAGAGUCAUUUCCAGCUCAUCUCCCAGAAGAUCCUUAUCACUGACUCAGGUUUCUAUUUCUGUGCCUGGAGCCUCACACUGAACUGAGUGAGGCAGAUAGCUGUGCAAAAACCCUUCCUUUCCUCCAAGUGCUAACAAUAUGUCCAGAUCUACUACAAGAGCCCUCCCAGACCACAUAGUGAUAGUGAUUUCUUCUCCCCUAUGACAACAGGUACUGGGCCUGAUCGAAAAAUAAGACAUACUUUUCUUUGU